RNAcentral lists this long non-coding RNA (9604 nucleotides) under Citrus sinensis (sweet orange). Its description in RNAcentral is "long non-coding RNA (CSIN_LNC001280)". Lineage: Eukaryota; Viridiplantae; Streptophyta; Magnoliopsida; Sapindales; Rutaceae. The record is from RNAcentral.
CAAAUAGGCAGAUAGCCAAGUAGUAGAUUGUACAGAUAAUUUGGCAUUUAUCUGCCAUUAUUUGAAUAAACUAUUGUAUCCCAGCUCCAAGUAAGAUAGGCAGCAUCAAGAACUAUUUUAAGUUGAAACCUAGCAGUCUUUUGGAGGUGUGUUUGCAAACUUCCACGAUGCUUUAUCAAAGCCUUCCGGGUCUCUGUCUCCUGCUACCUCUUCUAUGGGCACAGCGUCAGAAAUUUCUUUCAGAUCCUCUUUUGUAAGUUUAAUCCUCAAGGAGUCAAUAUUGUCAUCAAGGUUUUUCAUCUUAGUUGUCCCUGAAAAUUGAAGCAACUUAACAGUAAGUAAUAUUGCUGGUAAUAUCUUUUUAUCCGCUGGGUUUUUUAAACUCUAUAUACUUCUUCAAGGUAAUACAUGAAUCAAAAACUCGAAAGAAAGAAGUUACCGGGAAUAGGUACGACAUCAUCCCCCUGUCCAAGAACCCAUGCUAGGGCUAGUUGAGCAGAAGUGCAAUUGUACUUUUUGGCAAGGUUCUCUAUGCGAAAAUAAAUACUCUUGUUCCUGUCCAGGUUCUCUCCUUUGAACCUAGGAAGAAAAUGCUUAUAAAACAAAUACAUGUAUCAUUUUCAUAUGUACGACGAUAUAUAAAACAGUUAAAGAAACUGUAAGACUACUUUUGCUAGUUUAAAACAUUUUAUAUAGUACUGACUUAGGAAACAAAAUGAUGCGGAUAAACAUUGAUCGGAAAAAGUACCAAAAAGCUAUCUGCAGGUACACUCUCCACAACAGCUUUGCCACCAAAAAAUCCAUGACCAAGAGGACUGUAUGGAACUAUUCCAAUGCCGAGUUCCCUGCCCACCUCAAUGUAUCAGAAGGGCAGCCUUGUAUUUAUUAGCAUACACUUGCACAGAAAAUCUAAUCUACUCUAUGCAUGCAAUUAAAUUUAAAAAAUUCUACAAACAUUAGGUACAAAAUACUAGAUUGGAACAAAUAAAUAGGUCCUUAGACACUCUUCAAAGGCCUGUAGAAGAAAAGACUAAUGCGGAUAGUAUUCACUGAAAGAAGAACAAACCUGCAGAGGGGUAUUAUCUCUUCCUCAAUAUCACGAGUCCAGAGGGACCAUUCCAUUUGUACAGCUGUGAUGGGAUGAACAGCAUGUGCUCUCCUAAUUGUGUCUGGGCUGGCCUCAGAUAAUCCAAUGUACUUGAUUUUACCCUCUUCCACCAGCUUCUUCAUUUCACCAAUCUAUAGCAUGACAAGUAAUAGAGUUUCUAAAAUAAUUCUUUAAAUUUUGCAAUUUGGGACAGAACUCUACAAUUCAGAUAGCCCAAAAAAAAAAAAAAAAAAAAAAAAAAAAAAAAAAAAAAAAAAAAAAAAAAAAAAAAAAAAAAAAAAAAAAAAAAAAAAAAAAAAAAAAAAAAAAAACCUUUUCUCUGGGCAACAUCUUGAAGGCCUGAAAUCGAAGGAGUACUCUUUUUUUUUUUUUUUUUAAUUCAAUAAGAUUCAAAAAAAUCCGACGAGGUUUCACCAAUUCCUAAACAAACAUAUUUCAUCAGGACUGUGAUUCUUAAGUUAUCACUUGACCUAUGUCCGAAUUAUAUAAGAGGUAAGAGAAUUCAAAGAAAUGACUCUAACCUUUCCCAGAAGAAUUUCAUUAGCAUUUUGUCCGUACACAUCAGCAGUAUCAAAGAAAGUGAUUCCUUUACUGAAAGCAUGUUUUAUCAUUGAGAUGCCAUCCUCUUCUGAGACUGGAGAGCUAUAACCAGAACUCAGGUUCAUGCAUCCAAGCCCCAACUUUGAAACCUGUAAGAGCGUGAAAAACACACAAUUGUAGAAAACAAAUUUCCAGGAUUUGAUUUUAAAAAAAAAAUUACAUAUGGGUAGUUUACCUCGAGGCCUUGGGUACCAAGUUUCACUCUUGGAACUUGGAGUUUCUCUUCUGCCAUUUUUGAAGCUGUAGUUUUGGUUUCUUUGUUUUGGGUGUCUUUCAAGUUUCAAUAAGUAGAGAGACAGUUGACUCUAACGUCAACAAUGAGCAGAAUGAGACAGAGGAUUCUGGUUUGGCUCCAAGUCGAAGGCUCCGUAUGACUAAAAGUGUUAAGCUGGGACACGUGCUCUUUAUCUUUAUCAUGAUUAAUCAUGAACUUAUAAAGUUUUGACAAGUGUCCCAAAGUUCAGUGUAAUUGGAAACAAGUUCAAAAUAUUUUAAAAGUUAAGAAAUAUCCCCUAGACUUUGCAAAAUGUCAGUUAGAACUUAGGAGAGAAAUUUACAGUCUCGAUUUGACCAUAUAAUAUAUUGUGUCACCAAGUUUUAAUUUUGUUUCCUCUCACUUUCAUGGUUGGUCAACUUCAAAAUGGAUAUAUAUUACAAUUCUAUUGCAUAAACGUAUGAUAACAUGGUACGUUAGUGUCAUAAAAAACUUUCUCUAAUAACAUAAAUUAUAUAUGUGCCACGACGUUAUUUUAAUUGAACGAAAUUUGAACACAAUAGUGUAUAUUCCGUAGUUUCUAUUUGUUCUUGUGGCAAAUUUUAGGCUCCUAUGUUACCCUUGAAUGCAAAUGCAAUGGCUUUGUGUCUUCUUUGAUUGAGGGCUCAUGCCGACCUCAUAAUACAAGCAAUGUAAAGACCAUUAACUAUUCAUAAUAGUUUGAAUGUCAAGUAUCUAAACUUUUUAGAACAAUAUUUGAAUAGUCACUGCAUCAGAACCCAAAACUCCAAAAGGAGGUAGGAACAAAUUCAUCUUUUAAUUUAGGAGAUUAUUUACUAGAAAUAGCCUUAAGCGUUUACAUUUGAUUCGGUACAUGGCAGUUAUGUAGCAACAACAUAGCAAUCUGAAUUAAAAUACAUAAAAGCCACCCUGCAUUUUCCUGGUGGAUUUUGCAAUCUCUAUUUGCCAAAAUUUUAUUGCAACUUGAGGCUAUAACUUCUAGUUAACAACGAAAGAUAAUUUCAGUUCACAAAAUCGGCAGAAUUAAAUUUACAAAUUUCCAUCCAAUAGGCAGAGAGUCAUGUAGUAGAAUUUAUUGAUAAUUUAGCAUUUAUUUGAAUAAAGUAUUGAUCCCGACCCCAAGCGUUAGAUAGCUACUAAGGCAGCAUCAAGAAAUAUUUUGAGUUCAAACCUAGCAAUCUUUUAGGGGUGUGUUUGCAAAGAAAUUUGAACGUAUCUUAACUUGUAAUUUCUCUCCUCUUUAAAAACUUAGCAUUCUUAUUCGAUUAUGAUUUUACUUCAUUAUUUGCUUAUUUUUACUUUUAUUUCAUUUUUGUUUCAGAUUACAUCUAUGAAUAUCCCCUUAAAUUGGAACAUUUAAUCUCUUGCUACCAACUUGGCUAGGCUAUCCUUGGACGAUAUGUUGAAACUUAAUGUUGCAGACUAGUUCAAUCAAUUUUCUAAAAAAAAUUAAUAAUUUUAUCAAUUUUCUAAUUAUUUAUCAGUUAAAUGUAUACUUUUAUGCUCAUUUUUUAACCUUAACAAAAACAAAAACUUCUGCGCCAUAAUUUUAGUUGAGUAAUGGAUUUGUAUUUCUUAGCCUAUGAAGAUGAGAAUCAAUUUUGUUGCAUCAAUAUAAAUCUAUACUGAAAAUUCAAGUAUUGUGUAUGUCAUUAGUCCGAUCAUUUGUUGUAACUAUUCAAGUAUUAUACUUGAAAAAAAAAAAUUGUUUGGGCCCAAGGCUCUAAGUAGAAAUGAAAAAUUCAUUUUCAUAUUUAUAUUAUGGUAACAUAAUCCUUUCACAUUUGAUUUAUGAGAAUCUCUUCCUCUCAAGCAUUUUGUGCUGUUAGAAAAUCAGUAAAAUUUUUUAUUUAAAGAAUCAUCAUAUUCAUAAUUUCUCCUUGUCAUUUUUUUUUAUAUUAAUCACGAGGUAUCCUGGGGAGGGCCCCAACUGUGGGAGGCACCUUUAAGCCCGUACCACAACUCAGACUAGAAGUCCCCGCUCGAACCGGGAGGCACAGAUUCUCCCAACAAAGGCGACUUCCCUGAACUCCAUUGGGAGCAAACCCAGUCAAGCCACUUAAGGGAACUCCAUUGCCAGUGGAGCCAACACUUUGUUGGUCAUUUUUUUUUUUUUUUUUAAUUUUGAAAGAAAGUUAUCUAUGUAUGUAUUCUUUGCAAAUUUAUUUGUUUUUAGUGAAAGCAUAUAUAGAAAUUACCCAAAAGAUUAGAGGAAAGUCAAACCAAUUAAUAAUCAAAUCAAGGUGCUUCAAGCUUGCUUCACGACAAAACAGAGUACAUACUCAGGGGUAUCUAUUUCUGUAAUCCCAAACUUUGUGGCUGAUCUUGUAACCUAGGCAACUGCUUCAAGGCUAGAAACUAGAAAGGAGUGAACUUUUUCCCCCCCAAAUAAAUUGACAUAAUUUUAACAAUGAUUUGAUUUCCACCUUAUGAUUUUCUUAGUAAUGUCUAAGAGUAGCUAUUUACCAUUACCUUAAACAAACAUAUUUCUUAUUUGCAUGGAAAAAUUACAGAUUCCUUCCUCAAGUAUAAGUUAGAAAUACUACUUACUCCUUUAAAUUUAAUAAUGCUACAAUCAACUCUUACCCUAACAAUUUAAGCUAUUUUAUAAUAAGAAGUCCAUAUUACUCCUAAUUAAUUUAAUUUAUUUUACAAACGUUAAGUAUUCAUCAAAAUAAAAUAUAUUUUUGUGUGUAAUACGGCAACAUCAUCCUUGUUAAGUUAAUUUAAUUACUAAUUUAUAUUUUUUUAUUUAAAUUUUUGGCAUAAACAUAACCUAUUUGUAUUUUGGAUUUUCUUUUAAAAUGUUAUUCCAUGAUAAGAUAACUUCAUUUUAUUCCAUUUUCUUAAUCAUUACCUUUCUAAGAAGAAUUUCAUUAGUAUAUAUGGUCCAUAUCUAUCAGCAGUAUCAAAGAAAGUGAUUCCUUUGUUGAAAGCAUGCUUCAUUAUUGAGAUGCCAUCCUCUUCAGAGACCCGAGAAUUGUAACCUCCGCUCAGGCUCAUGCAUCCAAACCCCAGCUUUGAAACCUGUGAAAGCACAAAAACACAGUCAGAGAAAACAAAUUAUCAGCAUUGAAGGAAAAAAAUACAAAAAGAAAAAUGAAAACUACAAAUCGGAAAUCCAAAUUUCACUCUUGGAACUUGGAUUCUGUUCUUUUCUGCCAUCUUUGGAAAAGCUGUUAGCUUUUCCUCUCUUUGUAGCUUAGCUUAACUCUUAUUAAAGGAGGGCGUAAGAGAGUUAAUGGUGUUGCUGUUUUGUACUUUGUACCAUGGACUAACAAAAUAAAGCAGGAUUUGGAACUAAUCAAAAGAAGGCAACAAUAAAAAUUAUUCGAAGGUGGGGCUAAUUACUAUACCUGGGUCUGUUACGUGGCAGGGUAUUAUUCUACCACAAGACCACUGGUGCCUUGUUGGUGAAGGAAUUUGAAAGUUUUUUAAUGUGUCAAUUUAGCCUCCUGAAUGGUAUUGUGAACUUCACAAUUUAUGCAAUUAUUCUUAUUUCUGAACAACACAUACUCACCUUUUAUCAUUUAACCACUCAAGUUGCAGUGACAAUGUAGUAUGUUGAGAAACUAUAUUUUCAAUCCAGUGUCCUCCAGGUCUUGUUGAGAAACAGCUUGAGCUAAAAUAUGGUUCACAGAUUUCAUUCAUGUCACAUUCGUGGAACUCAAAAAGGCUGAAAAUAUUUCAACAUAUAUCUACACUAUGAUGAAGUAAAAUCCAGGAAAAUCAUUACAAUCCAAAAUUUGGAUAUUUCUAAUCUUUAUUUUCAAGGAAAGCAAGUUGGCAAGAUUUUAUAGUAACUUGGAAUUCAGCUUUAACUUAGAAAAGUUCAAACAUGCGUAUUUUCCUUUCACAAAUUGGCCAUGCUAAAUUUCCAAACAUAUAGUAGAUCGUAAUAAUCAAAGUUUAACAUCAAAUAGGCAGAUAGCCAAGUAGUAGAUUGUACAGAUAAUUUGGCAUUUAUCUGCCAUUAUUUGAAUAAAGUAUUGCAUCCCAGCCCCAAGUAAGAUAGGCAGCAUCCAGAACUAUUUUAAGUUCAAACCUUGCAGUCUUUUGGAGGUGUGUUUGCAAACUUCCACGAUGCUUUAUCAAAGCCUUCCGGGUCUCUGUUUCCUGCUACCUCUUCUAUGGGCACAGCGUCAGAAAUUUCUUUCAGAUCCUCUUUUGUAAGUUUAAUCCUCAAGGAGUCAAUAUUGUCAUCAAGGUUUUUCAUCUUAGUUGUCCCUGAAAAUUGAAGCAACUUAACAGUAAGUAAUAUCGCUGGUAAUAUCAUUUUAUCCACUGGGUUUUUUAAACUCUAUAUACUUCUUCAAGGGUUCUCUCCUUUGAACCUAGGAAGAAAAUGCUUAUAAAACAAACACACGUAUCAUUUUCAUAUAUACUACGAUAUAUAAAACAGUAGCAUUAAAAGAAACUGUAAAACUACUUUUGUUAGUUUAAAACAUUUAUAUAGUACUGACUGAGGAAACAAAAUGAUGCGGAUAAACAUUGACCGAAAAAAGUACCAAAAAGCUAUCUGCAGGUACAUUCUCCACAACAGCUUUGCCACCGAAAAAUCCACGACCAAGAGGACUGUAUGGAACUAUUCCAAUGCCGAGUUCCCUGCCCACCUCAAUGUAUCAGAAGGACAGCCUUGUAUUUAUUAGCAUACACUUGCACAUAAAAUCUAAUCUAUUCUAUGCACGCAACUAAAUUUAAAAAAUUAUACAAACAUUAGGUACGAAAUACUAGAUUGGAACAAAUAAAUAGGCCCUUAGACACUCUUCAAAGGCCUGUAGAAGAAAAGACUAAUGCGGAUAGUGUUCACUGAAAGAAGAACAAACCUGCAGAGGGGUAUUAUCUCUUCCUCAAUAUCACGAGUCCAGAGGGACCAUUCCAUUUGUACAGCUGUGAUGGGAUGAACAGCAUGUGCUCUCCUAAUUGUGCCUGGGCUGGCCUCAGAUAAUCCAAUGUACUUGAUUUUACCCUCUUCCACCAGCUUCUUCAUUUCGCCAAUCUAUAACAUGACAAGUAAUAGAGUUUCUAAAAUAAAUCUUCAAAUUUUGCAAUUUGGGACAGAACUUUACAAUUCAGAUAUCCCCCAAAAAAAAAAAAAUUCGCUCACGGUUUCCUCUAUGGGGACUGAUGUGUCCACUCUAUGUUGAUAAUAUAGAUCAAUGUAAUCCACAUCAAGGCGCUUCAAGCUAGCUUCACAACACGAGCGCACAUAAUCAGGGGCACCCUUCACGAUCACACCAGCAACUCCUAUUCCUGCAAUCCCAAACUUUGUUGCUACUUGCAUCUUUUCUCUAGGCAACUGCUUCAAGGCCUGAAAUGAAAAGGAGUGAAUUAUUUUUCCAAUAAAUUCACAAUAUUCUGAUAAUGAUUUCCAUCCUAUGAUAUCCACAAUAGUACCCAAAAGUAGCUAUUUACCAAUUCCCUUAACAAAAAUAUUUCAUUAUUAGCAUAAAAUAUUUCAUUAUUAGUAUUGUGAUCCUUGUAUUGUCAACGAGUUAUAAGAAAAAUUUCUCGAAUCUUAGUAACCAUCAUACUCCUUAAGUUACCACUUGAUCUAUGUGUGAAUUGUAUAUAAUUAAAUUUAUCAUACAGAAACGUUGUUAAGAAAAUUGCAACAGAAAACCAUAACCUUUCCAAGAAGAACUUCAUUAGCAUUUUGUCCGUACACAUCAGCAGUAUCAAAGAAAGUGAUUCCUUUACUGAAAGCAUGCUUUAUCAUUGAUAUGCCAUCCUCUUCUGAGACUGGAGAGCUAUAACCUCCACUCAGGUUCAUGCAUCCAUAACCCAAUUUUGAAACCUGUAAAAGCAUGCAAAACACACAAUCAUAGAAAACAAAUUUUCAGGACCUUUUUUGAAAAAAUGAAAAUUACAAAUGGGUUGUUUACCUCAAGGCCUUGGGUACCCAAUUUCACUCUUGGAACUUGGUGUUUCUCUUCUGCCAUUUUUGAGGCUGUAGUUUGGCUUCUUUGUUUCAAUGUCUUUCAAUGAGGAGAGAUGGUUGACUUUAACUUGAGCAAUGAGCAGAAUGAGACAAAGAGGAUUGUGGCUCGGCUCCAACUCCAAGGUUGUGUCUUGACAAGGGCUAAGCUGGAAUAUGUUCUCUGUAUCUUUAUCAUGGCGAAUAAUGUAAUAUUACAAUUAUAUAGUUUGGACAAAAUCCUGAAGUUCAGUGUAAUUGGAAGCAAGUUCAAAAAAGUUUAAAAGUUGACAAAUAAGCCCUAGACUUUGCAAAAUUUCUGGUAGGAGAGAUAUUUAUGUUCUCGGUGUGACUGUCAAAUAACGAGACCCUCUAAUAAAAUUAUAUUAAACGAUCUAAUUUUGACCAACUUUAAAAUGGAUAUAUAUACUAAAAUUUUAUUAGAUAGGCGUGUGAUGACGUGGAUGUCAGCAUACUUGAAAUUUUUUCUAACAUCAAGAUUACAUAUGUGCCGCAUUAUUGUGUUGUUUCAAUUGAAUAUGUUUUGAGUGCAAUCCAAUUUGAAUGCAAUAUUGUGCAUCCUGUCGUUUCUUUUGGCUCCUGUGGCUGAAUUUAUCCUCCUGAUGUUAGCCUUGAAUGAAUAAUUGAAUAUGCCAUGGCUUUGUAUUUUCUUUGAUUGAAGGCUAAUGCCACACUCAUAAUACAAGCAAUGCAACGACCAUAAACUAUUUAUAAUAGCUUGAGUUUUGAACAUCAAGGAUUUUAAAUUUUCAGAGCAAUACUUGAAUAGCUUUUGCAUUAGUACGCACAAGGAGGAAAAUAGGAACAAGUUCAUCUUUUAAUUUGGGUGAUUGCCUGCUGGAAACAGCCUUGAGUCAUAGAGAGUGUACAAAUCUUUCAGUACAUAAUAUUCAUGUAGCAACAACAUAGCAGGCUAUAAUCAAAUACAUAAAAGCAACCUUGCAUUUUCCUUAUCAUUUACUGAAACAAGGAGAACGAAUUCUCUCUAUCGUGAUAGAAAUUUGUAUCCUUUCUUUUGCUUUUGUUGCAAGAAAAUAUUUUGGCUUUUGCUUAUAUUAGUGAUUCAGUUCUGUAAAUGCAACAAAAUCAGGAACAUAAUCCUAAGAAACACACAAGGGAAAGAAAAAAAAAAUGAAAAAGAAAGCUUAAGUACCAUUUACAAUUUGAAAUGUUGUUAAGCCCACAAGGUAGAACUCAAAUUUAGCUAUUGGAAUUUGCAACCUUGUUUUCAAAAAAAGAGUUGGCAAGCUUUUACAGCAACUUGAAUUCAGGAUGUGACUUCAGGUUUACAAUAAAAGAUAUUCUCAGUUCACAAAUGGCCACACUAAAUUAACAAACAUAUAGUAGAUCAUAGUGAUCAUCCGAAGUUUAUAGCUAAUUAGGUAUUUAUUUGAAUAAAGUACUGCAUCCCAACCCCAAGAGUGAGAUAGGCAGCAUUCCAGCGUCCAGAAUAUUUCAAACCUCAUUGCCUUUUUGGAGGGGUGUUUGCAAACCUCCACGAUGAUUUGUCAAAGAUAUCUGGGAAUCUGCCUCCAGCUACCUCUUCUAUCGGUACAGCAUCAGAAAUUUCUUUCAGAUCCUCUUUUGAAAGUUUUACUAUCAAGGAGCCAAUAUUUUCAUCCAGGUUCUUAAUCUUAGUUGUCCCUGAAACUCGAAGCAAAAUAACAGUAUCCAUUAAUGCAGGUAAUCUUAUCUUGAUAGGCUGGGUUUUUCUAAACUCUAU